This 468-nucleotide ribosomal RNA is filed under the name uncultured bacterium. Its description in RNAcentral is "partial 16S ribosomal RNA". It matches the Rfam family "Bacterial small subunit ribosomal RNA", at positions 28 to 507 of the family's 1533-position model. The record is from RNAcentral.
GACGAACGCUGGCGGCGUGCUUAACACAUGCAAGUCGAACGGAAAGGCCCUGCUUUUGUGGGGUGCUCGAGUGGCGAACGGGUGAGUAACACGUGAGUAACCUGCCCUUGACUUUGGGAUAACUUCAGGAAACUGGGGCUAAUACCGGAUAGGAGCUCCUGCUGCAUGGUGGGGGUUGGAAAGUUUCGGCGGUUGGGGCUGGACUCGCGGCUUAUCAGCUUGUUGGUGGGGUAGUGGCUUACCAAGGCUUUGACGGGUAGCCGGCUUGAGAGGGUGACCGGCGACAUUGGGACUGCGAUACGGCCCAGACUCCAACGGGAGGCAGCAGUGGGGAAUAUUGCACAAUGGGCGGAAGCCUGAUGCAGCAACGCCGCGUGCGGGAUGACGGCUUUCGGGUUGUAAACCGCUUUCGCCUGUGACGAAGCGUGAGUGACGGUAAUGGGUAAAGAAGCACCGGCUAACUACGUG